Molecule: non-coding RNA, 2707 nt
Organism: Lolium perenne
Lineage: Eukaryota; Viridiplantae; Streptophyta; Magnoliopsida; Poales; Poaceae
Source: RefSeq, a predicted model, not a curated record
AUGGGUCAUGUGAAGCCCGCCCGGCCCGGCGUCUCGCGGGGAGAGAGCACGCAACUUCGUCCGCCCAAUCCCCUUCCUUCCCCUCCUCCCCAAUGGCCUUCUUCCUCCUCACAGCCGCCGCCUCUCCCUUUCCCUCGUGCCUCCAGCGCCGCCGUCGGGCGUCCUGGCUCCUCCACACACACCCUCCCCUCCACCAUGCUUGCAAGCCUGCUCCUUGGCCGAUUUCCCUAGCGCUGCGGCUGGAAGGCCUCCUCAUCAUCGGGUUUCUGCGCCGCGGCGCCUCACAAAGUCGGCCAUGUGGAGGAGCACACAUGGAAGCAGCAGGCCGAUGCGGGGAUCUGCGGGCGGAGCUCCGCCGUCUCCGGACCCUCUCCAUCUCGUGCUUCAGUGGGUCAAGGUCGGGGAGCAGCACACAGGGACCCUCCCCACUCGUUCUUCUCCUCUCUCCCAACAAUAUCCCCCAAUCCCGUGUUGUUCCUCGUUUUUCACCGGCGGCUGGAUGCCUAGGAGGAAGGAGGACGGGCGGCCUGGCUUCAACGGGAUUAGAAGGAGGCGGAUUUUGGCAUGGCCCGUACAACUGCCAAGAUGGCGCCCCGCCGGAGUUGCUGUUCGUUCUAUCUCCCCAGGCCUGUAUACUCCUGGUGUUGAGGGUUUGUGUAGCUUCUAGGCCAAGAAGCUGAGAGGGGUUUUCUUCUUUGAGUCGCCGGAACCAAGCGACGACAACGUGCUGCAGACUUUCUGGUCUUCUAUACAAGAGAAAUCAAAUUAAUAUAUAAUUCAGCUUCAAAAGCACCAAAAAUUUAUGUCAAUACAUGGGUGAGUGGAGAUACUGCAUGUAAUACUCAUUUUCCCAUCUUUAUACAGCGAUGUACCUGUAGCAACUGUCAUUUUACUCUCCCACUUAGAAGGACUUCUCUGUAUUUUGUCGACCCUUCCGGUCUUAUGGUGAUUUUUUUUUCCUGAAGCACUUCUUAUGUCUUGCCUGCGUUUGAAGUGUUGGAGUUCUUAAAUUCUUGAUGAAGAGGAUUUUGGAGGUACGUGCCGCCGGUGCUCGUGGCGCUUAAUUAACUGCAGCAGCAGAAUUUGGAUUAUUAAUGCAGAUGAACCCUCUGUUUCAGAAAGCUAUGGUUGGCUUCGGACUGGAAGGACAUGUCUAGCAGCGGCUAUUUAUCGGAGAGGCUAUCGUUCCUUUAUGGUCAUAAGACAGGCUUCUCUUUGGAAGUGGAAAUGGAAUCAGCACAUGAAGGCUUGCCCCUGACUUUGCAAGUGCCCCACGAAGCCGGUCGUGCAGUGAUGGUAACAGUGAGACUGAUACACAGCCCUAGAGGACCAUGUUCGCCGAAUCAUCGCAUGAACAUGGGUUGGGAGCUACACUAGAGUUGGCUCCUAGGUUUGGUCUGAAGAGGUUGGUUUACCUGUGCUUGAUGCUCCAGAUUCUCCGCCUGCCCUGUCCACUGCUCCUCCAACAGACAAAACAUCAACCACGUUGGUUUCUGCCUCGUGGUCUCCUAGGUCAGAGCCACGGUGCAGGAGCUCAGGUUUCGGUGGAGAGAUGAUACAGUGAUGAGAAGAUGUGCCCAGCAGCUAGCUAUAGUGGAGAAUUGAUUCGUCCGAUCCCCCCACCCCUGGCCUUCUACAGAGAAGGCGCUCUCGCUAACCCGCUGUUCCCUACCAAGGAAGCUCUCGGGGGGAUUGGUCGUGGUGCCAUUCGGAUUCCUACUUUUUAAGUUCCUAUUUUUUUAUCUUAAGUUCGUAUUAGAUGGUGUUUCUCACAUCUACCAUAUAGUGUCUGUUAUUCUGCAAGUACUCUGUACACAUAAAUAUCAGCAGACACAACCAUCCUCUUGAUAUGAAUUGCUCUGAUGAGCAUCUUAUGUGGCGGAUAAGACUCAGUACAGUAGUACAUUUGUACUACAUUAUUGGUAUGGUAUAUAAGUUCAGUUGAAUGCUCCUUUCUAGGCCUUAACGACAACAAUCAAAUACCUGCAAAAUAGUUUUUCCAUAUGUGCAUUAUUCCGUGUAGAAAGAAGAUUGUACAGCUUUGUUGUAAAUCUUAACAAUUAAAGCCAUUUGUUAUAUAAAUGUAGAGAGCAUAUUUAUUACUGCAACAGGAAAACUAUACUGCUAACCUCUUGGUUUUAGCUGCAUAAGGUGUGAACUCAUUUUAGUCCUCAAAAUACAUGCUCUUAUAAAGAAAACAAUCAGUUUAUAGCCUACCAAUUUCUGACGCUGUUUGAUUUCUUAGCUGAGACUCGUGUACGAAGUCGGUGCCCUACCGACAAAGGUGGUACAACUCUCACCAGAUGACCUCAGAGACGAGAGCACAAUAACAUACUGGAAGAUAUGACGCUAGAAGCACACAAAUAAGCUAACCUGGUGCAAGCUGUGAUUCCAUGACCCAUCCCCGCUGUGACCCUGUUCCUGGAAUUGGCAAGGUGUUUUUGAAGUAUGCAGAUGCCAAGAGCUCGGCCAGGGCAACAAUGGAUGCACAUGAGGAGAUUCGACAGGAAAAAGACGGUUGCCGUGUUCGCCGAUGGAGACUACGACGAAUAGAUUAAAACAAAUCUUGCAUAUUUGUUCUUUUUAGACUUUGAAUACAUUUAGCAGUAAGUUUUCAUGAAAUGUACUUAAAUCUCAUGUUAUUCUAAUAGUGGUGCAUACAGGAUUGCAUUCCGAAGUUAUCAGAAUACAAAUCUUUAAAACCGAA